This 169-nucleotide ribosomal RNA is filed under the name Characidium sp. NS 1619. RNAcentral's name for it is "partial small subunit ribosomal RNA". Lineage: Eukaryota; Metazoa; Chordata; Actinopteri; Characiformes; Crenuchidae. The record is from RNAcentral. RNAcentral also lists the same sequence under 1 other name.
CACCGCGGUUAUACGAGAGGCCCUAGUUGAUACCCACGGCGUAAAGAGUGGUUAGAAACAAAUAAAAACUAAAGCCAAAGACCUACCAAGCCGUCGCACGCACCCCGAAGGCACGAAACCCAGACACGAAAGUAGCUUUAUUAUUAACGACCCCACGAAAGCUAAGAAA